CUCCCACAAAGAUACUUCUACAUUUUCUGGAUGUGCUGUUUUGCUACAAGCAUGGGGAUGGUCAAGACUACCGUCUCUAGCACCGGUCAAUAACAACCCCUUCACUUUUCCAUAUGCAAAAAAAUGGUCGGCACGCGGUAUGAAUUACAAAAGAUGUCCGAGACACUGUAUUACUCAAUAUCGCAACCUGUUGGAUCACCUUCGACCGGCAGACUUCAUUUGGCGUCCAUACCUUAAUAUGGAUCAUGAGCAUCAGAUCAACCCUGAAGACGCAGCCGUAUGGACAACAUGCACACCGAUAAUACGGUUCACAACAGUGGAGCUGCACAACACCGAU
Long non-coding RNA from Lathyrus oleraceus (garden pea), 337 nucleotides. RefSeq lists it as uncharacterized. The record is from RefSeq and is a predicted model, not a curated record. The transcript has 3 exons. Lineage: Eukaryota; Viridiplantae; Streptophyta; Magnoliopsida; Fabales; Fabaceae.